RNAcentral lists this ribosomal RNA (465 nucleotides) under uncultured bacterium. RNAcentral describes it as "partial 16S ribosomal RNA". It matches the Rfam family "Bacterial small subunit ribosomal RNA", at positions 338 to 795 of the family's 1533-position model. The record is from RNAcentral.
CCUACGGGUGGCAGCAGUGAGGAAUAUUGCGCAAUGGGCGAAAGCCUGACGCAGCGACGCCGCGUGAGGGAUGAAGGUCUUCGGAUCGUAAACCUCUGUCAGCAGGGAAGAACGGUCACUGUGCUAAUCAGCAGUGAAUUGACGGUACCUGCAAAGGAAGCACCGGCUAACUCCGUGCCAGCAGCCGCGGUAAUACGGAGGGUGCGAGCGUUAAUCGGAAUUACUGGGCGUACAGCGCUCGUAGGCGGUAUGUCAAGUCAACGGGGAAAUCCCCGCGCUCAACGUGGGAACUGCCUUUGAAACUGGCAAACUGGAGUGUGUGAGAGGAUAGUGGAAUGCCAGGUGUAGGAGUGAAAUCCGUAGAUAUCUGGAGGAACAUCAGUGGCGAAGGCGACUAUCUGGCACAUAACUGACGCUGAGGAGCGAAAGCGUGGGUAGCAAACAGGAUUAGAUACCCCAGUAGUC